RNAcentral lists this ribosomal RNA (339 nucleotides) under uncultured bacterium. Its description in RNAcentral is "bacterial SSU rRNA". It matches the Rfam family "Bacterial small subunit ribosomal RNA", at positions 458 to 793 of the family's 1533-position model. The record is from RNAcentral.
CCUCGCAUUAUUUGACGUUACCUACAGAAGAAGCACCGGCUAACUCCGUGCCAGCAGCCGCGGUAAUACGGAGGGUGCGAGCGUUAAUCGGAAUUACUGGGCGUAAAGCGCAUGCAGGCGGCCUGUUAAGUCAGAUGUGAAAGACCCGGGGCGUUAACCUCGGAAUUGCAUUUGAAACUGGCAGGCUAGAGUCUUGUAGAGGGGGGUAGGAAUUUCAGGUGUAGCGGUGAAAUGCGUAGAGAUCUGAAGGAAUACCAGUGGCGAAGGCGGCCCCCUGGACAAAGACUGACGCUCAGAUGCGAAAGCGUGGGGAGCAAACAGGAUUAGAUACCCUGGUAG